Molecule: long non-coding RNA, 668 nt
Organism: Conger conger (European conger)
Lineage: Eukaryota; Metazoa; Chordata; Actinopteri; Anguilliformes; Congridae
Exons: 3
Source: RefSeq, a predicted model, not a curated record
GAGUGGUGUUCCGCUGCAUACUGCGCCUUACCCAUAAUCCAUCACACCAAGAGAAUUUCUUUCAGUUUGGGACAAUGAUUCCUCGUUAUACCAUCGGCUGCUGGAUUCUGUUGUUUUUUUCACCAGGAUAUGUUCACGUUCUUGCCAAAGUUGAAGUCGUCCGAGUAGCAAGGGGAUUGGACGCCACGUUACGCUGCCCAUCAAAGACGAGUUUUAAACCAACGUGGGAAUGGAACGUGACACCGGGAAGUAACAUCCAGACGUUGGUGUUGGAGAGCACUGCGUAUCUGCUGGUGGAAAAUUUUCAGAAGAUGAACGAGGGUCUGUACUAUUGUGUCAAUGAAACAGAUAAAAAAUCUGUGGUGAAACUGGAAAUACAAGAAGGUGUAAAAAAUCUCACACCUGAAUUGUUCAGACGCCCUAAGACGGGCCCGUUGCAGCUCUUUUGUGAAGCUCUGUCCGGUGCGAAGCUUGAGGGGAUUUGGAGGCGGGAACAGACGGCUUCUGAAGGAGAUUCCUGCAAACGGCAUGGCACGGAUCUUGCGCUCAUUGAAAAUCGGUCUGAAGUAAAGAAUUGGGCUGACAACAAAUUUGAGCUGCGCAUCUCCCCGCUGCUUUGGGAAGACCAUGGACACUACCGAUGCGUUGUGUGUAAAGACCGCGGAAUU